GUGAUUCAUUAAUGUGUGCUGUUAUUCAUUCAGUUAUGGUACCAUACACUCACCCUGUCUAGGCAGUUCUGAUAAGUGAUCAUGCUCAAUACUGCAGAAACUACAGAUAAAAGAGAACAGCUAUGCUCUGCCCAGGAAAGCUUCUGGUCUCAAACUAAUUCCUGAUAUUCCUCGUGCAAGAGGGAAGAGGCACACAGGAAUAAAAACAUCUAAGUGCUGCUGUAAGGGCUAGGGCUCAGGCCUCUGGGUCUAACUUGAGGUGCUUGUUCACUAGCUCUUCUUAUUUUUCUUUUGCUAGCCUUGUGCACAAGCAUGAAAAAAUGAAGUUUCUUAAGAACAAUAUGCUGUUCUUAUUAAAUUGCAAAGGAAGUCUGCAAUAUACCUAAGUCAAGCCUUUAGCAGACCCGUGAGGUUUCAUAUUAUCCUAUGCUUGAAUGAGGCAGAUGACUGGAGCAAAAACCAGCUAAUGACAUAAAAGCAUUCUUCUACUUUCAGUCUCUCUUAAUUAAGGACUUGGUUAAUGUUUCAGUGCUGGGAAUUAUAAAGCUUCAUCAGGGAGGUUAAUAUGUUUUUUAUUUUAUCUUUCAGCUGACAGGAGAAAAAAAAAAUCAAAACAAAAAAGAGAAGGCGAUUAAGUCAUGUGCCAGUCAGAAUCCCACAGUGAAGGCAGUAUCAGGACAUACCAAAGACCACUGCUGCACAUGGUGGAUUUAGCAGCUAUUUCCAAAGUCAGAUUUCUGAGCAGAUGAGACUUUUGUCUGCCAGUUUAGACACAUGGGUUUUAUUCCUUGAAUUCACACAAAUAACCAAGACAGCUCUAUACUAGAUUAGCUACAAAAGAUCUCUACGUUAUUAACCAUUUCAGAAUCACUUGCGCCUACCUUGCUAGUGUUAGAAGAGAGUGACUAUGGGCCUGAUCUUGUACACCUGAAAAACAAAUCUGGCAUCCAGACAUCUGCUUCAGUUGUUUUAUGGAGGAAUCCAGUGAGACAGCGCCUGGUUCUGGAGUGACACAUGGAGCUCUCGGGCUUGUUGCCACAUCCACUGUUACGAUCAGAGAUUAUUGCUCCCAGCCUGAUGUCAAGCAGAGACUAAUCAAAUGUGAGAUGGGUGAACAGAGGCAGAGUCAUGGAGCUGGCUCUUCAUAAUCUGUUACUAUUGAUCUUCUUUGUACUGCAGCAGCACACAGGGGUCCCAAUCAUGGAACUAGACCAUAGCAUAUUGUCCAAAAAUCUCAGUGCCUUUCUUCAACAUGAUACUUUAUUCACUGUCUUGCU
Molecule: long non-coding RNA, 1277 nt
Organism: Pezoporus occidentalis (night parrot)
Lineage: Eukaryota; Metazoa; Chordata; Aves; Psittaciformes; Psittacidae
Exons: 2
Source: RefSeq, a predicted model, not a curated record